This 775-nucleotide ribosomal RNA is filed under the name uncultured Neocallimastigales. Its description in RNAcentral is "partial large subunit ribosomal RNA". It matches the Rfam family "Eukaryotic large subunit ribosomal RNA", at positions 26 to 635 of the family's 3401-position model. The record is from RNAcentral. Lineage: Eukaryota; Fungi; Neocallimastigomycota; Neocallimastigomycetes; Neocallimastigales.
CGCAUCUGUGCAUGCAGCAUAUCAAUAAGCGGAGGAAAAGAAACUAACAAGGAUUCCCCUAGUAACGGCGAGUGAAGCGGGAAGAGCUCAAAUUUGAAAUCUUAAAGGGUUUCCCUUUACGAAUUGUAGUUUAAAGAAGUGUUUUCUGUUGAGGUUUUGGUAAAAGUUCUUUGGAAUAGGACAUCAUAGAGGGUGAGAAUCCCGUAUUUGACCUUUACUUUCAACUUUGUGAUACACUUUCAAAGAGUCGGAUUGUUUGGGAAAUGCAGUCCAAAAUGGGUGGUAAACUUCAUCUAAAGCUAAAUAUUGGCGAGAGACCGAUAGCGAACAAGUACCGUGAGGGAAAGAUGAAAAGAACUUUGAAAAGAGAGUUAAACAGUACGUGAAAUUGUCAAAAGGGAAGCGUUUGACACCAGUGUUGUUUUUCUGAAAAUCAAUUAAAGAACUGUUUAUGCUAAGUUGUUUAGACUUUAUCAGCUAUCUGCUUAGUUUUGAGCUUUUCUUUAAUGCACUUUUCAGUUAACAAGUCAACAUCAAUUUCUUUUGCUGUAAAAAAGCUUGAGGAAGGUGGCUUGAGAUUCGUCUUAAGUGUUUAUAGCCUCUUGCCUAUGCAGUCGGAGAGAUUGAGGUCUGCAGCGUAGAUCCUUCGGGGCUAAAUGCAUUUGUGCUAAGUUAUAGCAUUUUAUAGACAACUUGUUGACUAUGAUUUGUCUUGUAGCUUACUCGCUUAUGUUAUUUUACCUACGCUUAGGAUGUUGAAGAUGUAGCACAUCAU